UACGGAGGAUGCGAGCGUUAUCCGGAUUUAUUGGGUUUAAAGGGUGCGUAGGCGGGAUGCCAAGUCAGCGGUAAAAAUGCGGUGCUCAACGCCGUCGAGCCGCUGAAACUGGCGUUCUUGAGUGGGCGAGAAGUAUGCGGAGUGCGUGGUGUAGCGGUGAAAUGCAUAGAUAUCACGCAGAACUCCGAUUGCGAAGGCAGCAUACCGGCGCCCUACUGACGCUGAGGCACGAAAGCGUGGGUAUCGAACAGG
Molecule: ribosomal RNA, 252 nt
Filed under: uncultured bacterium
Lineage: Bacteria
Description: partial 16S ribosomal RNA
Rfam family: Bacterial small subunit ribosomal RNA
Source: RNAcentral